Molecule: ribosomal RNA, 433 nt
Filed under: uncultured bacterium
Lineage: Bacteria
Description: partial 16S ribosomal RNA
Rfam family: Bacterial small subunit ribosomal RNA
Source: RNAcentral
AACGAACGCUGGCGGCAUGCCUAACACAUGCAAGUCGAACGAGACCUUCGGGUCUAGUGGCGCACGGGUGCGGAACGCGUGGGAAUCUGCCCUUGGGUUCGGAAUAACAGUUGGAAACGACUGCUAAUACCGGAUGAUGACGUAAGUCCAAAGAUUUAUCGCCCAAGGAUGAGCCCGCGUAGGAUUAGCUAGUUGGUGAGGUAAAGGCUCACCAAGGCGACGAUCCUUAGCUGGUCUGAGAGGAUGAUCAGCCACACUGGGACUGAGACACGGCCCAGACUCCUACGCGAGGCAGCAGUGGGGAAUAUUGGACGAUGGGCGAAAGCCUGAUCCAGCCAUGCCGGGUGAGUGAUGCAGGCCUUAGGGUUGUAAAGCUCUUUUACCCGGGAUGAUAAUGACAGUACCGGGAGAAUAAGCUCCGGCUAACUCCGUG